GUGAAUCAUCGAAUCUUUGAACGCAUAUUGCGCCCUUUGGUAUUCCGAAGGGCAUGCCUGUUCGAGCGUCAUUAUCACGGUAUCAAGCCUGGCUUGUUGUUGGGCCCCUUGUCACUUGGUGACAGGUCCAAAAGAGAAUGACCGGUGUCGUACAGACUCUACAUGCAACGAGCUUAUCACAGCACGCAUCUGGCAGUCGUGUGGCCCGGUUCGCCCCCAUUCUUUCUCAAGGUUGACCUCGGAUCAGGUAGGAACACCCGCUGAACUUAAGCAUAUCAAUAAGCGGAGGA
RNAcentral lists this unclassified non-coding RNA (290 nucleotides) under Herpotrichiellaceae sp. RNAcentral describes it as "partial contains 5.8S ribosomal RNA, internal transcribed spacer 2, and large subunit ribosomal RNA". The stretch from base 1 to 71 matches the Rfam family "5.8S ribosomal RNA", at positions 84 to 154 of the family's 154-position model. The record is from RNAcentral. Lineage: Eukaryota; Fungi; Ascomycota; Eurotiomycetes; Chaetothyriales; Herpotrichiellaceae.